RNAcentral lists this ribosomal RNA (711 nucleotides) under uncultured bacterium. RNAcentral's name for it is "bacterial SSU rRNA". It matches the Rfam family "Bacterial small subunit ribosomal RNA", at positions 76 to 777 of the family's 1533-position model. The record is from RNAcentral.
CCCUUCGGGGGUUAGUAGAGCGGCGCACGGGUGAGUAACACGUGGCUAACCUACCCUUCAGUCUGGGAUAACCCGGGGAAACUCGAGCUAAUACCGGAUACGUUCCACGGAGGAAAGCGGGGGCUCUCUUCGGAGACCUCGUGCUGAAGGAUGGGGCCGCGGUCCAUCAGGUAGAUGGUGGGGUAAUGGCCUACCAUGCCAAAGACGGAUAGCUGGUCUGAGAGGAUGAUCAGCCACACUGGAACUGAGACACGGUCCAGACUCCUACGGGAGGCAGCAGUGGGGAAUCUUGCGCAAUGGGCGAAAGCCUGACGCAGCAACGCCGUGUGUGCGAUGAAGGCCCUCGGGUCGUAAAGCACUGUCAGUAGGGAAGAUGGGUUCUUUUCCUAAUAGGGAGAGGACUUGACGGUACCUACGGAGGAAGCACCGGCUAACUCUGUGCCAGCAGCCGCGGUAAUACAGAGGGUGCAAGCGUUGUUCGGAAUUAUUGGGCGUAAAGCGCGCGUAGGCGGCCAUUUAAGUCGGAUGUGAAAGCCCGGGGCUCAACCUCGGAAGUGCAUCCGAAACUGAAUGGCUUGAAUCCUGGAGGGGGCAGUGGAAUUCCCGGUGUAGAGGUGAAAUUCGUAGAUAUCGGGAGGAACACCAGUGGCGAAGGCGACUGCCUGGACAGUGAUUGACGCUGAGGUGCGAAAGCGUGGGUAGCAAACAGGA